AGAGGCGCCCAGGCUAGAAGGGCCCGGCUCUUGGCCCUCGCUGUCCUGCCCGCUGUCGCCGCUCUUUGGCGCCCCCGCAACAGCUCCCUCUCAGCAGGACGCGGAAAGGGCUUGUAUGUGUCCAGGAAGUCUAGUGAAUUCGACCAUGAAUCCAGACAUGGCCAGUGGCUAAAUCCUGUGGGAAGACACUGUGCUUCUCUCUGACCCAUGAACACUCUGCUAGUCAAGCUCUCUGUCACAAAGACAACUUGAAGAGACAGAGUGGACCUCACAGAAGAUACCAUCGUCACUCUUACCAAUGCAACUGUGGUGAACAGGACCACUAUUAUUCCUUAGAUCAAAAGGACAGCACAUUCAACAGCAUCCUCAUGGCAUGCCAGCAAUUUGCAUAGGAUGUUCACAAUUAAACUUUGAUUAUCUAGUGCUUUGUGGAUGUAUUAUGUAUUACAGAAAUCUAUUUGCAACAUGGAGGCACAUUUUCUCUUUUGUUUGUUCACUUGUUUAUCUGAAAAUCAACAAAUGGUUAUAGAAUGCCUACUAUGUGCCAGGGACUUCUGGUCACAGCCUCAAACAAAAGAGAUUCUUCUGUAUUCUAUUCUUCUGUAGCUUACCAUAAAUAAGAGC
This 624-nucleotide long non-coding RNA is filed under the name Homo sapiens (human). RNAcentral's name for it is "non-protein coding LINC01607:7". Lineage: Eukaryota; Metazoa; Chordata; Mammalia; Primates; Hominidae. The record is from RNAcentral.